This 1329-nucleotide long non-coding RNA is filed under the name Pogona vitticeps (central bearded dragon). RNAcentral describes it as "lncRNA (ENSPVIG00000007199.1)". The record is from RNAcentral. Lineage: Eukaryota; Metazoa; Chordata; Lepidosauria; Squamata; Agamidae.
AUGGAAGGGUCCCCCAAAGGGACAGCAGGUCAUCAGAAGAGGCCAGUCUCGGAGUACAUCAGCAAGCCGUUCCACGUCUCUAAGAUGUGGAAGAGAGACGUUGUGUUUUGCUUCCUCUGCGUUCUCUCCCUGCUUGGAACUCAGAGCUCCAGUGCCGAAUGUAUUGGAUGUACCUACAACCCCGAAGAUCCGUGCUACAUCAGCAACUGCCCACGAGGAGGGAAGAGAGCCAUUGCUGACGAUGAGGAUGCUUGGAUCGCCAAGCGUGAUGCAGGAGACUUGCUUGCGUAGGAACUAAUCCUGCUUCCUGCCUGCAGCUUCGGUGUAAUAAAAGAAGUCGUUUCCCCGUUAAUCCUUAAUGAAAGCUAAAAUCUGCGAUUUGUCUAAGAAGAGAGACAGUGUCCAGUCUUCCAUCAUCAGGAGAUAUCUGAAGACCACUCACACAUACACACACACCAUGGUUUAAACUCUGCUGAUGUCAACUAAACUUUCUCGAUUCCAAUUACGAGUUGUUUGUUUCCUUGAUUAGGGGCACCCUGCUAUUUGCCAAAGCCCACCCGCUAAAGGAGUUCUCCUCUACAGUGAUUACCUAAAGCUUGCACCAAGGGUGGGAAAUACAUUGUGCCCCUGUCCUCUGCCACCAAAUGAAGGUGCCCCUUUACCAAAAGCUGACAUUAAGGAUGCUAGAGAAUCUAAAAGAAAAUGAAUGAUGCUGUGUGCCUUGUUUUAGGCACGAUGGAUAGGUUCUUCCCCCCUUAUGAAAAACAGAAGUGAGCUUCUGUUGAGGGUGGUGAUGGAACAUAUAGAGGAGAGGAACUAUCUCACAGACCUUCCAAAACUGCCCAUCUCUGGCAUGUAACAAGGAUGGUGAACACAAUUCUUCAAGGGUUGGUCCUUACGUAGCUAAAACCAGCUCCAUCUAUGACCGAGAUAGGCAUGUCAGCAGGCAAGUGGAAACCCCAAGGUUUGGAGAUAUACAUUUGAAAAAGAGAGUGAAACGGUUCCAUGAGGAUGAAAUGUGCUCAAUAGCCACAGACCAUCCAUGGCUGGUAAAGGCAGAGGCAGCGUAGGAAAACCAGAGAGGAGGGGAAGUCUCCUGGGAGCAGACAUGGCUAAAACCAUUAAAAGAAGCCUUCCAAGGCUACAACAUUUGGUCGCAGAAUCCACUGGCUAAUUUCUAAACAUUGUCCUGUGUCUUCUGGCGGUUUGCUGUGUUGGCUCUUCUGUAUUACGGCUCCCACCACAAGUAACAUCAGAGUAUCAAUGCAAGAGAAAGGUGGGAUGUGAAUAUUUUAAAUGAAUGAAAUAAAUAAAUCAUGUGUUGUAGCA